UUGCUUCAGCAGCACAUAUACUAAAAUUGGAACGAUACAGAGAAGAUUAACAUGGCCCCUGCUCAAGGAUGACAGGCAAACUCAUGAAGCGUUCCAUAUUUUU
RNAcentral lists this small nuclear RNA (103 nucleotides) under Delphinapterus leucas (beluga whale). The record is from RNAcentral. Lineage: Eukaryota; Metazoa; Chordata; Mammalia; Artiodactyla; Monodontidae.